GAACCUCGCUUGCGGGGGGAUUAGUGGCGAACGGGUGAGUAACACGUGAGUAACCUGCCCUUAACUCUGGGAUAAGCCUUGGAAACGGGGUCUAAUACUGGAUAUUGACUUUAUCUCGCAUGGGGUUUGGUUGAAAGAUUUAUUGGUUUUGGAUGGACUCGCGGCCUAUCAGCUUGUUGGUGAGGUAAUGGCUCACCAAGGCGACGACGGGUAGCCGGCCUGAGAGGGUGACCGGCCACACUGGGACUGAGACACGGCCCAGACUCCUACGGGAGGCAGCAGUGGGGAAUAUUGCACAAUGGGCGAAAGCCUGAUGCAGCGACGCCGCGUGAGGGAUGACGGCCUUCGGGUUGUAAACCUCUUUCAGUAGGGAACAAGGCCAGCAUUUUUGUUGGUUGAGGGUACUUGCAGAAGAAGCGCCGGCUAACUACGUGCCAGCAGCCGCGGUAAUACGUAGGGCGCAAGCGUUAUCCGGAAUUAUUGGGCGUAAAGAGCUCGUAGGCGGUUUGUCGCGUCUGCCGUGAAAGUCCGGGGCUCAACUCCGGAUCUGCGGUGGGUACGGGCAGACUAGAGUGAUGUAGGGGAGACUGGAAUUCCUGGUGUAGCGGUGAAAUGCGCAGAUAUCAGGAGGAACACCGAUGGCGAAGGCAGGUCUCUGGGCAUUAACUGACGCUGAGGAGCGAAAGCAUGGGGAGCGAACAGGAUUAGAUACCCUGGUAGUCCAUGCCGUAAACGUUGGGCACUAGGUGUGGGGGACAUUCCACGUUUUCCGCGCCGUAGCUAACGCAUUAAGUGCCCCGCCUGGGGAGUACGGCCGCAAGGCUAAAACUCAAAGGAAUUGACGGGGGCCCGCACAAGCGGCGGAGCAUGCGGAUUAAUUCGAUGCAACGCGAAGAACCUUACCAAGGCUUGACAUGAACUGGAAAUACCUGGAAACAGGUGCCCGCUUGCGGUCGGUUACAGUGGUGCAUGGUUGUCGUCAGCUCGUGUCGUGAGAUGUUGGGUUAAGUCCCGCAACGAGCGCAACCCUCGUUCUAUGUUGCCAGCACGUUAUGGUGGGGACUCAUAGGAGACUGCCGGGGUCAACUCGGAGGAAGGUGAGGACGACGUCAAAUCAUCAUGCCCCUUAUGUCUUGGGCUUCACGCAUGCUACAAUGGCCGGUACAAUGGGUUGCGAUACUGUGAGGUGGAGCUAAUCCCAAAAAGCCGGUCUCAGUUCGGAUUGGGGUCUGCAACUCGACCCCAUGAAGUCGGAGUCGCUAGUAAUCGCAGAUCAGCAACGCUGCGGUGAAUACGUUCCCGGGCCUUGUACACACCGCCCGUCAAGUCACGAAAGUUGGUAACACCCGAAGCCGGUGGCCUAACCCCC
RNAcentral lists this ribosomal RNA (1369 nucleotides) under Arthrobacter psychrochitiniphilus. Its description in RNAcentral is "bacterial SSU rRNA". It matches the Rfam family "Bacterial small subunit ribosomal RNA", at positions 71 to 1443 of the family's 1533-position model. Lineage: Bacteria; Bacillati; Actinomycetota; Actinomycetes; Micrococcales; Micrococcaceae. The record is from RNAcentral.